UUGUUUUUAUAUAUCACAUAACUAAGAGCAUACCCUCGUGAAAACAAUAUAUCUAAGUUUCUUCGGUGUGAAGUAAAUAUAGCUUAAUAAUGAGCGAUGACAUGGAUAGCGGAAUGUUUGCUCAGCUGCAAUGCGCUUUAGAAGAGAAAAAAUUAGAGAUAAAAGAACUUCAAGCAAUAAUAGACAAAUUAAAGGAAGAGCAACGAACUGAUACAAAAAAUUCUGAAAUUUUUAAGUUAUCCGAAAAAG
This is a long non-coding RNA of Zophobas morio, 249 nucleotides long. RefSeq lists it as uncharacterized. The transcript is spliced from 3 exons. NCBI's taxonomy places the organism in Eukaryota, Metazoa, Arthropoda, Insecta, Coleoptera, Tenebrionidae. The record is from RefSeq and is a predicted model, not a curated record.